Panicum virgatum (switchgrass) is the source of this 1955-nucleotide RNA transcript. RefSeq lists it as uncharacterized. The transcript has 3 exons. NCBI's taxonomy places the organism in Eukaryota, Viridiplantae, Streptophyta, Magnoliopsida, Poales, Poaceae. The record is from RefSeq and is a predicted model, not a curated record.
UUUUCAAAAACACCCUUCAUUUUCAUAUAAAUCACAACCCAAUCCAAUACGUCCGACCUGUACAGCAAUCAUGUGCAUAUAUUUUACAGAUAAACCCUCGUAACAAAAUUUAUUUUGACACAAAGAAGAGAAAAAUCGAUGGUGCUGUCAUUUUUGCAGAAACCACCUUGAGGCGAUUUUCCAAGCACCCCCUCCCACCACCCAACCGGUCACCCCCCGCCCCCUUCCCCCAACCCGAACCCAAUCCUUCGUCCUCGACGCCGCCCUCUCUCUCCCUCCCCGCCGCCACCUCCCCUCCCUCGCUCCAUCCCUCCUCUCAGCCUCCCCGCCGCCUCCCCUCCCCUUGCCCUCUCUGCCUGCCUUCGACGCGACGCGUAAGCUCGGCGCUGAGGUCCACGACGAUGGGGGUCAGCGAGAGGGAGAGCGGGAGCGGGGCGCGGAGAUGGAAGACGUGCGGGAAGAGGCGGAGGAAGUUCGGCAGCGUGAGCGGCUCGGGGGAGGCCGGCAGCGCGUCGACCAGCGGCGAGGUCAAUACGCUGCGGUUGUACCUCACUUGCAUCCGGAACACUCUGGAGGCGGCGAUGUGCCUCCAGCUACUGUGAGACCUUGAACUGGUAGCCGGCCGCGUCGCCAUCGGCGGCGAGGGCGGCGGCUGGCUGCGCAUCGCCUGCACGACCUUGUCAUGCCUAAAUUUCAUGGUGUAUGGCGCUCCUCGUGCAGGGCUAUGGAAUGACUGAAACUUGUGGAAUCAUAUCUUUAGAGUACCCAGAAAAAGGACAAGCUCGUCAAUUUGGGUCAACUAGAUCACUUGUCUCAGGAGUUGAAGCAAAGAUUGUAGAUAUAUAAACAUUGAAAUGUCUGCCAGCAAAGCAACUAGGAAAAAUUUGUGUUCGGAGGACCGAACAUAAUGCGAGGUAAUAUUUUGAUCAUUGACUGUAUAAAAAAAACUCGAUCUGUGGGGAGAAAGACCUCCCCUACGGUAUUGUACUAAGAAGAAGACCUUCUCACAUAGGCCGAGAAAACUCCCGAACCCCUGCCCCCACCCGUACACGGGGUCCGUCGCCUUGUGAGUAGGCUGGACCAUACACGUGCUUUGGACAUGGGACAGGCGAGUGGAUUUUUUUCUGCAGCACCACGGGCUCGAACACGGGCGGGUGCGCUCCCCACCGGGAGGUCGCACCAACCGAGCUACGCUCGGUCUGCAUCAUUGACUGUAUAUAUUGUGUUCUCAUUCUUUCUCCAUAUCGUCAGCUAUUAAACAUUACCGAGCCCAGUCAAAAAUAUUACACUGGGCUGUAGCUGUAGUAAUUGAUAGUAUUGUUUUUAGUUGCACACUGACAAUAGAUCCAAAAGUUCUCCAUAAUAUUCUGUCCUGGAGGGAUAUUGUGGCCAAAACAUUUUCCUACUUAUUGAAUGUAUUAUUUUUAGGGUAUUUUAACAUUGUGCAAGCUACUGAUCUGUGUAGAUUCUGUAGUAUGCUUAUGGAAGUAUGUUGUGUUGUAGAGAUAGAUUCAGUUUCAUUUUCAGUUUAUGUUCAUGGCCAUGUUCAGAGCUUUAUUAAUUUUACCGGAUUUUGUCGUCUCUCUCUGGAGGUGCUUCUGGAUGAAGAUGAACAAGGGAUCUUAAGAUAAACUCAAUUAACUCCUUUUGAUAACAGCUUGUAUUAGUGUUUAAGAUGAUCCAAAGCAUUCUUCCAAGGCUGCAGAAGUGCUAACAAAGUUUUGAAUCAAUUCGCAUGAAUGAAAACUUUAGAAAUAUCUUAGUUAGGACAAAAAGGACAUAGAAUUUAUUUCCAUUUGGUAUUCAUUUGUGCUUGAAUGAGGUGAAAUCUUAGCGAGGGAUUGUACCUUCUUUUUUAGGUUUGGUGUACUUUACUGCUGUUUAGAGAUGUAUGUCCGUCAAAUGAUCAUAACAAUAAGAGUCUAUUUUACCUUCUGACAGUAAAAGGUAGAGAA